Mercenaria mercenaria is the source of this 3349-nucleotide long non-coding RNA. RefSeq lists it as uncharacterized. Lineage: Eukaryota; Metazoa; Mollusca; Bivalvia; Venerida; Veneridae. The record is from RefSeq and is a predicted model, not a curated record. The transcript is spliced from 3 exons.
UUCAGGUUAAAGGUCAGUAAUUCAAAUCCUUCUUUGUUUCAUAUAAAAAAGGACAACUUCAUAUCGUCUUUACGUAUCUUUAGAGAACAUCACUUUUUCCUACACCUAUUUUUCAUGAAAGUUCUAUCACAAAUUAACGAAAAAAUGAAAAGAAAAUAGGGGGUUAUGUAGUUCCUAGUGAAAUGCCAGUCAGUUGUGGUCUGCUACCCUAAAAAUGGCGCAUAUUUACUCUCGUCCGCGCAAUAAACACCUACUUCCGGUUUCGAUCUGCAAAACUUGCCAUGUGGGGUGUAUGAACAUGAAAACCGUCUCAUUUCAUGCAGAAUGUCUUCUAGUAGUGAGAAACGGUGAUUAAAGCACUCGUUCUACACGAAUUUGCGCAAAAAAUGGGAAAAUUAGGAUCUAUUUAUUAUGGACUUCUUUCGACUACACCACGGAAGCACAUUUUCGACCGAAUUACUGACCUUAUUCCUUUCAACUAAGCUUUAACACCAAUUUACGUUGUCUAUAAGUGUCUAUGUGACAGUUUUGGUGUUCAGCUAGCAAUUUGCAGUCAUGGCCACCAAUGUGCAGAUAAAAGGCAAAGCUUCAAAGUUUGACUGUCUCAUCUGUAGCAGGAAUCUGUCUUCAAGGCAGUGACUUGAGACACAUAUGCAGGCAAGUCAUAACAGAAGUUCAGUGGACUCUAGCUACAAAUGCAAACACUUUUUGAACAGGAUGCUUAAGUGUAGAAGCAAGUGGACAACAGCAAAAGAAAUGGUGUCUUGUAAAGUUGCAGGAAGACUCUUACCAGUCUCACCAGAUGAAUGCUGUGAAGGUCUUCUGCAGUCAACAAACUCAACUUCUGCAUUGGAUUUAAAAAAGUGUUUUCAUGUUGAAAUUAAUGGACAAAAGUACUUCAGUCAGGCAUAUCAGCGAAUGAAAAAAAGAACUUGUUAUUUUGUGGUUUGUCAUUCAGGUGAAGUAGUUUCAGUCAACAGGGUUCGCACAGGCCUUGAAAAGUCCUUGAAUUCGAUGGUAGUCCUUGAAAACUCCUUGAAAAUGACAAAACCCCUAAAAAACCUGGAAAAGUACUUGAAUUUUGAAAAAAACUCCUUGAAUUUGACCUUUCACUCCUUGAAAAUAUUCUUUCCGUAACUUUGCUUUGCAAAAAGAAUUUAAGGCUUAAAAUAAAUCGGAGAAAAUGAAAAUAAAUUCAUGAAAUUGCAGGAUCGGGUCACUCGUAUGCUGUUAUAGUGGUCUACGGCCAAACUUUAACGAUAUUUACAGAGUGCUAUUUCUACUAUAUCACCGUUUGCAUGUUUCCGUUUCCUUUUAAAAAAGUACGGGGAAUAAUAACUCGCAAUUUUUAACUAUUUGCAAGUGUUUCCAGUGAAUUAAAAUGAGUAAGAAAAAUAAAGAUGUUUACUCAAGUAAGCGGGAGACAAAAGACGAAUAUAAACAGUGGCUGAAGCCCUAUAGAGCAGACAGAACGAAGUGUAUUUGUACGUCGUGUGACAAAAUUUUGAGGUAUCAUUAGUAAGAGUGCGCUAAAAAAUCACAAGAAUAGUGAUAAACCUCAGCAAAAUAGUGAAUUACAUCAAUCUGAUAAUCGAAUUACGUCAUUUUCAAAGGUGUGACAAGUGAUGGUUGUUUUAUUUUUGCAUUACAUAAUAAAAGUUGUUCAGAUUAGGUCGUGGUUUUGAAAAAAAAUAGUGCUUGAAAAAUUGUAAAAAGGCCUUGAAAAGUCCUUGAAAAGUACUUGAAUUUUGUCUCUGAUAUUCUGUAUGAACCAUGGUCAAGUUUUUUGUUGUUAAAGAAAAGAAAGUGUUUGCUGUCUUGAAAGUAUAUGAAAUACCUGAUGACUGUUACAUCCUUAGAUCUUGUGGCAGACAUAUAUUUAAAGUUGUAUCAACUGAAUGUCUGAAAACAAUUCAUGUGUCUGAGAUCAUGGAUAAACUUUUCUAUAUAGCUAUUGACAAUGCUGUAUAUGUUGUAUGUAUGCCAAACAUUCUAGGCAGAAGUGUGUUUAAGUAAGGUACAAACAGUCCACACGAAUGCCCCCCUAUCCAGUGGUUAGACCAAUAAAAUACUUUUCAUUAAAAAGAGUACUCUAGCAAAUUAGUAUUGAUUAGUGUAUUUCAGAAAAUAACCUGACAAUAUAUAUGGUUAUAAUUAGUCCCCUACUGUGAAACUGGAAGAAACUAUAGGUUUACCCUCCGUCUGUCCAUCUGUCUGUCAGCGAAAAAGAAGUGGAUUAUGCGAUUACACAAAAAGUACAUAAGCUAGGUUCAUGAAACUUGGUGUGUAGUUACAGGACGAUAUGUAGAUUAUGCACAUCAUUUUAUUUUUUCAGUCAGACUAAAAUUAUUGGUUGCUAUGAUAACAGAAAUUCCGUCUGUCCUUAAGCGAAAAAAAGUGGAUUACGCAAUUACUCAUAAAAAAGGGUCCUAGCAGUAUCUAUGGCAGCACAGGCCCAAAUCAGCCUUUGGGGCACAAGAUACAUAUGUACAGUUCAUGAGAUAAAAUUUUAACGCUUUUGUAUGCUACACAUUUAUAUGAUCAUGCUUAAAUCUGCACAUACAGUUAUUACAAUAAAAAUUAUCUCAGAGCAGGUGGAUCUUUAGAAAUUUUGUUCAGUAUAAAUUUUAUGAAAAGUUCAUGCCAGAUAUAUUUUCUGCUUGUUUUAAGUGCAUAAAAAAUCUUUGUUUCUGACCAUGGUCUGUAUCCUUUCCAACCAUGGUUUACAUACAUAAUGUCUGUGUCAGUUUGUUUUUAACCAUGGUUGUAAUUUUUCACCAUGGUAACAAAGUUGACCAUGGUCAGUCAUAUCUCAACCAUGGUCUACAUCAGUUGACCAUGGUGGCCUAUUUUUUCAACCAUUGUUUGACCAUAGUCAACCAUGUCAAAAUUUCUGGUCCAACCAUGGUCAAACCUGGAAUGGCUAUGCUGAACCAUGGUUGUAAAUGGUUGAACAUGGUCACAUUUCGCAGGGGGUUGUCACUCAUUGUCUGCGUUAACGCGUGUUAGUUAAGUUUUUCGGUUAAGUUUGUUAAAAUCAACAGAUCUCCAGGUUAAGUUUUUCAAACAGACCUUGGUCAAAGUUUGAAGUGGUUAGGCGCUUGAUUGUCAAUCAAGAGGUCGUGCCAACCUCUGCGGCGAUUACUUCCCCUUGCGAUACAGUAACUAAUGAACGCCAGGGAAGGUAACUGCUGCGAAUAGCUUGGAGGUCGCGAGGUUGUAUCAUGCCUUUGGCGCUUGAAAUUUAAAAUUAAUAGUACAUGCUUAAAGACUUGUGUAAAUAAAAGAUCAGAGCAGAAAAUAAAAUAUGAAAACCGUGACUGACUUGACAGUUAUUGUAGUUUGGACU